Non-coding RNA from Triticum urartu, 456 nucleotides. The record is from RefSeq and is a predicted model, not a curated record. NCBI's taxonomy places the organism in Eukaryota, Viridiplantae, Streptophyta, Magnoliopsida, Poales, Poaceae.
AAUCAAACAACAUUUUAAACAUGGGUGAAAGUUGCAUAUUAUGAAACUAGACAAAAUUCUAAGCAUAUUUCAUAUAUUAAGUUUUUCAAUCCGAUGCACGGUUGUGGAAUUAUUAAAGGCAUGAUCAACAAGGGUUUUUCUAUAAAACUGAAAUACUCUGGAUAAUUGGACAAAUUCACAGAACGAGAAAAAAAAAACAUGAUCGGGCUGAAUCUGGGACAAGCCCAACAGCAGGAAGGAAAAAAAAGGUGGGGCGCUGGGUGGCCUCACCCAUGGGCCUUGGCCCAUCUUCAGAGCAGCCGGCUAGGGACAGCGGGGCUGGGCCUCCCAGGCCGAUCGAAGCAGGGGGGCGCUGAGCCUGGUGCGUCGCGGUCAACAGGAGCGGCACACGUUCGUCCUCGCGUGGUCGAAGAAGAAGGGGCCGGGGCGAAGCAGAAUCAACGUGGCAGGCGCCGA